Molecule: ribosomal RNA, 485 nt
Filed under: uncultured bacterium
Lineage: Bacteria
Description: bacterial SSU rRNA
Rfam family: Bacterial small subunit ribosomal RNA
Source: RNAcentral
AAUGAACGCUGGCGGCGUGCUUAACACAUACAAGUUGAACGUGAAAGUCCUUCGGGAUGAGUAAAGUAGCGAACGGGUGAGUAAUACAUAAGAAUCUACCUCUUAGAGGGGGAUACCCUAGAGAAAUUUAGGUUAAUACCGCGUAAUCCCAGAGAUGGGCAAAGGUGGCCUCAUGCUACCGCUGAGAGAUGAGCUUGUGGACUAUUAGCUAGUUGGUGGGGUAAAGGCCUACCAAGGCGAAGAUGGUUAACCGGCCUGAGAGGGUGUACGGUCACAAUGGGACUGAGAUACGGCCCAUACUCCUACGGGAGGCAGCAGUGGGGAAUAUUGCACAAUGGGCGCAAGCCUGAUGCAGCGACGCCGCGUGAAGGAUGAAGGCUUUCGAGUCGUAAACUUCUGUUAAGUGGGAAGAAAUGCGCAUGGUUAAUACCCAUGUGAGCUGACGGUACACCUAGAGAAAGCACCGGCUAACUUCGUGCCAGCAG